Molecule: ribosomal RNA, 253 nt
Filed under: uncultured bacterium
Lineage: Bacteria
Description: partial 16S ribosomal RNA
Rfam family: Bacterial small subunit ribosomal RNA
Source: RNAcentral
UACGAAGGGUGCAAACGUUGCUCGGAAUUAUUGGGCGUAAAGCGCGCGUAGGCGGUUACUUAAGUCGGAUGUGAAAGCCCUCGGCUUAACUGAGGAAGUGCACCCGAAACUGAGUAGCUGGAGUACGAAAGAGGGUCGCGGAAUUCCCGGUGUAGAGGUGAAAUUCGUAGAUAUCGGGAGGAACACCGGUGGCGAAGGCGGCGACCUGGGUCGAGACUGACGCUGAGGCGCGAAAGCGUGGGGAGCAAACAGG